UGCACCGAAGCUGCGGCAGCGAACGUAUCACCCAAGACAACUUUACGGAGUUGACGAUUGACGGAGCGAAGCGACGUCAAAGCGUUCAUUAAAGUCGAGUUGGCUUAGGGAUACGUUCGUUGGGUAGGGGAGCGUUCUGUAAGCCUGUGAAGGUGUGUCGUGAGGCAUGCUGGAGGUAUCAGAAGUGCGAAUGCUGACAUAAGUAACGAUAAAGCGGGUGAAAAGCCCGCUCGCCGGAAGACCAAGGGUUCCUGUCCAACGUUAAUCGGGGCAGGGUGAGUCGACCCCUAAGGCGAGGCCGAAAGGCGUAGUCGAUGGGAAACGGGUUAAUAUUCCCGUACUUGGUGUUACUGCGAAGGGGGGACGGAGAAGGCUAUGUUGGCCGGGCGACGGUUGUCCCGGUUUAAGCGUGUAGGUGUGUGUUCCAGGUAAAUCCGGUUCACUUUAACACUGAGGCGUGACGACGAGGCACUACGGUGCUGAAGCAACAAAUGCCCUGCUUCCAGGAAAAGCCUCUAAGCAUCAGGUAACAUCAAAUCGUACCCCAAACCGACACAGGUGGUCAGGUAGAGAAUACCAAGGCGCUUGAGAGAACUCGGGUGAAGGAACUAGGCAAAAUGGUGCCGUAACUUCGGGAGAAGGCACGCUGACACGUAGGUGAAGUGAUUUACUCAUGGAGCUGAAGUCAGUCGAAGAUACCAGCUGGCUGCAACUGUUUAUUAAAAACACAGCACUGUGCAAACACGAAAGUGGACGUAUACGGUGUGACGCCUGCCCGGUGCCGGAAGGUUAAUUGAUGGGGUCAGCGCAAGCGAAGCUCCUGAUCGAAGCCCCGGUAAACGGCGGCCGUAACUAUAACGGUCCUAAGGUAGCGAAAUUCCUUGUCGGGUAAGUUCCGACCUGCACGAAUGGCGUAAUGAUGGCCAGGCUGUCUCCACCCGAGACUCAGUGAAAUUGAACUCGCUGUGAAGAUGCAGUGUACCCGCGGCAAGACGGAAAGACCCCGUGAACCUUUACUAUAGCUUGACACUGAACAUUGAGCCUUGAUGUGUAGGAUAGGUGGGAGGCUUUGAAGUGUGGACGCCAGUCUGCAUGGAGCCGACCUUGAAAUACCACCCUUUAAUGUUUGAUGUUCUAACGUGGACCCGUAAUCCGGGUUGCGGACAGUGUCUGGUGGGUAGUUUGACUGGGGCGGUCUCCUCCUAAAGAGUAACGGAGGAGCACGAAGGUUGGCUAAUCCUGGUCGGACAUCAGGAGGUUAGUGCAAUGGCAUAAGCCAGCUUGACUGCGAGCGUGACGGCGCGAGCAGGUGCGAAAGCAGGUCAUAGUGAUCCGGUGGUUCUGAAUGGAAGGGCCAUCGCUCAACGGAUAAAAGGUACUCCGGGGAUAACAGGCUGAUACCGCCCAAGAGUUCAUAUCGACGGCGGUGUUUGGCACCUCGAUGUCGGCUCAUCACAUCCUGGGGCUGAAGUAGGUCCCAAGGGUAUGGCUGUUCGCCAUUUAAAGUGGUACGCGAGCUGGGUUUAGAACGUCGUGAGACAGUUCGGUCCCUAUCUGCCGUGGGCGCUGGAGAACUGAGGGGGGCUGCUCCUAGUACGAGAGGACCGGAGUGGACGCAUCACUGGUGUUCGGGUUGUCAUGCCAAUGGCACUGCCCGGUAGCUAAAUGCGGAAGAGAUAAGUGCUGAAAGCAUCUAAGCACGAAACUUGCCCCGA
RNAcentral lists this ribosomal RNA (1715 nucleotides) under Salmonella enterica. RNAcentral describes it as "partial 23S ribosomal RNA". It matches the Rfam family "Bacterial large subunit ribosomal RNA", at positions 1190 to 2802 of the family's 2925-position model. Lineage: Bacteria; Pseudomonadati; Pseudomonadota; Gammaproteobacteria; Enterobacterales; Enterobacteriaceae. RNAcentral also lists the same sequence under 1 other name. The record is from RNAcentral.